RNAcentral lists this ribosomal RNA (440 nucleotides) under uncultured bacterium. RNAcentral's name for it is "partial 16S ribosomal RNA". It matches the Rfam family "Bacterial small subunit ribosomal RNA", at positions 338 to 795 of the family's 1533-position model. The record is from RNAcentral.
CCUACAGGUGGCAGCCGUGGGGAAUAUUGCACCAUGGGUGAAACCCUGAUGCAGCAUCGCCGCGUGAGUGAAGCAAGAUUUCGGUAUGUACAGCUCUAUCAGCAGGGAACAAGAUGACGUUACCUGAAUAAGAAGCCCCGACUAACUACGUUCCAGCAGCCGCGAGACGACGUAGUGGGCAAGCGUUAUCCGGAUUUACUGGGUGUCAAGUGAGCGCAGACGGCAGUGCAAGUCUGGAGUGAAAGCCCGGGGCCGAACCCCGGAACUUCUCUUGAGACUGUGCGGCUAGAGUAAUGGAGGGGCAGGCGGAAAUCCUAGGGUAGCGGGGACAUGCGUAGAUAUGAGGAGGAACACCAGUGGCGAAGGCGGCCUGCUGGACAGUAACUGACGUUGAGGCUCGAAAGCGUGGGGAGCAAACAGGAUUAGAUACCCUAGUAGUC